RNAcentral lists this ribosomal RNA (506 nucleotides) under uncultured bacterium. RNAcentral's name for it is "partial 16S ribosomal RNA". It matches the Rfam family "Bacterial small subunit ribosomal RNA", at positions 29 to 523 of the family's 1533-position model. The record is from RNAcentral.
AGUGAACGCUGGCGGUAGGCCUAACACAUGCAAGUCGAACGGCAGCACAGAGGAGCUUGCUCCUUGGGUGGCGGGUGGCGGACGGGUGAGGAAUACAUCGGAAUCUACUUUUUCGUGGGGGAUAACGUAGGGAAACUUACGCUAAUACCGCAUACGACCUACGGGUGAAAGCAGGGGACCUUCGGGCCUUGCGCGAUUGAAUGAGCCGAUGUCGGAUUAGCUAGUUGGCGGGGUAAAGGCCCACCAAGGCGACGAUCCGUAGCUGGUCUGAGAGGAUGAUCAGCCACACGGGAACUGAGACACGGUCCAGACGCCUACGGGAGGCAGCAGUGGGGAAUAGUGGACAAUGGGCGCAAGCCUGAUCCAGCCAUACCGCGUGGGUGAAGAAGGCCUUCGGGUUGUAAAGCCCUUUUGUUGGGAAAGAAAUCCAGCUGGCUAAUACCCGGUUGGGAUGACGGUACCCAAAGAAUAAGCACCGGCUAACUUCGUGCCAGCAGCAGCCGCAG